This 493-nucleotide ribosomal RNA is filed under the name uncultured bacterium. RNAcentral describes it as "bacterial SSU rRNA". It matches the Rfam family "Bacterial small subunit ribosomal RNA", at positions 23 to 489 of the family's 1533-position model. The record is from RNAcentral.
CUCAGAUUGAACGCUGGCGGCAGGCCUAGCACAUGCAAGUCGAGCGGAAACGACAUUAUUGAAUCUUCGGAGGAUUUAAUGGGCGUCGAGCGGCGGACGGGUGAGUAAUGCCUAGGAAAUUGCCUUGAUGUGGGGGAUAACCAUUGGAAACGAUGGCUAAUACCGCAUAAUGCCUACGGGCCAAAGAGGGGGACCUUCGGGCCUCUCGCGUCAAGAUAUGCCUAGGUGGGAUUAGCUAGUUGGUGAGGUAAUGGCUCACCAAGGCGACGAUCCCUAGCUGGUCUGAGAGGAUGAUUAGCCACACUGGAACUGAGACACGGUCCAGACUCCGUACGGGAGGCAGCAGUGGGGAAUAUUGCACAAUGGGCGAAAGCCUGAUGCAGCCAUGCCGCGUGUAUGAAGAAGGCCUUCGGGUUGUAACGUACGUUUCAGUUGUGAGGUAGGGUGUGUAGUUAAGUAGCGUGCGCUGUCUUGUACGUUACGCGAACAGAAA